RNAcentral lists this ribosomal RNA (494 nucleotides) under uncultured bacterium. Its description in RNAcentral is "partial 16S ribosomal RNA". It matches the Rfam family "Bacterial small subunit ribosomal RNA", at positions 28 to 507 of the family's 1533-position model. The record is from RNAcentral.
GACGAACGCUGGCGGCGUGCUUAACACAUGCAAGUCGAACGGAAAGGCCUGCUUUCCCUUGUGGAUUGCGGGUACUCGAGUGGCGAACGGGUGAGUAACACGUGAGUGAUCUGCCCCCAACUUGGGUAUAAGCCUGGGAAACUGGGUCUAAUUCCCGAUAGGACGGCAGGGUGGUGCCUGUGGUGGAAAACGAUUUUCUAGUGGUUGGGGAUGAGCUCGCGGCCUAUCAGCUUGUUGGUGGGGUAAUGGCCUACCAAGGCGGCGACGGGUAGCCGGCCUGAGAGGGUGGACGGCCACAUUGGGACUGAGAUACGGCCCAGACUCCUACGGGAGGCAGCAGUGGGGAAUAUUGCACAAUGGGCGGAAGCCUGAUGCAGCGACGCCGCGUGGGGGAUGACGGCCUUCGGGUGGUAAACUCCUUUCGACCGCGAGGAAGCCACCUGGUUGGAAGGGUGGUGACGGUAGUGGUAGAAGAAGCACCGGCUAACUACGUG